CUCACAUCCAAACCAUAAGAGUAUAGUUAUGCAGACACCAGGUGCUAUCUACCCUGACAAUGGAUUAAUGCUGUCCCUCUCAUCACAGGUCCAGAAUGCUAAGGCCUAGGGACAGAAGAUGUCAAAAGAGGGCCCUCAGGUAUUCCUGGAACCUUGGUGCCAGGACAUCUCAAGUCUCCCAUUUCCUCUAUUCUGGUGCAGUGCUCCUCAGCAAUCAGGUGUGGUUUAAGUGGGCUAAGGUUUGAGUUGGUCACCCCUCUGGUAAGCACAGAUGAUAAACAUUGUUGAUGCCCAUGAAGUACCACCUUCAUCAAGGUGCCGAGUACAUGAGCUUUGACAGCAUGGUUACCUGCACCUGGAUUUCAAAGGAUGCCCCAGAGAACCUCAGCCCAGGCAGAGAACUGCCACAGGGGCAGAAUUAUCACAGACAGCUCUCAGGUCAAUGUCCAGUGGAGCUAUAAGGGUGAGAGCUACCAUACAGAGUGAUGCCUAGCAGAGCUGUGGGGACAGGGCUCACCUCUAUGACUGUAGACCGGUAAGCCAUCGAGAAGCAGUUCCAGUCUGGGAGAGCCACAGUCGAAAGACCCAGUAUUGUAGAGCUGCUCUGUGGGUUUCUCUCAGCAAAGCCAUGAGGGCAGUGUGUGUGGAAUGUGGAACAAUGAGGCAAGAUUAUCCUGGAGCUGUAAGAUUUAAUGUUUGCCCUAUUAUAUUUGGGGUUUAGUUGGAACCUAUUAUCUCUUCUUUCUUACUUCCUUUUGGAAAGGAAAUCC
This 770-nucleotide long non-coding RNA is filed under the name Marmota monax (woodchuck). Lineage: Eukaryota; Metazoa; Chordata; Mammalia; Rodentia; Sciuridae. The record is from RNAcentral.